AGUCUUUGGGUUCACAGCUUGGCUCUACAUUCAUUGCUGGAGGAAUCCAAGCCUCACAAAAGACCGCUUUUAAAGAAAAACUCUAUUUUUCUUAGAAGAACUAGAUUAAACUAAGAUCCUUUGCCAAUAAAAAGACAAACAAUAGAAAAUUCCUACAGAUUAAGAAUACCAACCAAGAUUUCAGUGAACUUACUUGCUUCAGCUCUGGGAGAACAGUUAUGACAUGGUGCUGAAUUACAUCAGUGAGGAACUAGAGCUUUAACCAAACUUGAGUAAGAACUCCCUGACUUGGAAACACUCAAGUUUCCCACACAUGACUGGAUGGCCCUGGCCACACUGGGAACGGAAUGGGGGCCUCCCAUUGGAACUCAGGGUGGAGGGGGAAGCUCGACCAGCUAUUGUGGCCCCCACUUCCAUUGACAAAGAGAAGAGACUUGUACACAGAGAGGCUGGGCAACUUGUACAUGGUUGCACAGAUGUCCAGAGGCAGUGCUGAGAUGUGAACACAGGAAGACUGGAUUCAGCAUCUGUGCUACUAACCAGGACACUAUGAAGUCUCUCAUACCUGUGGUACUAGGAAAAUCAGAGAAAAUUUCAAGGAGGGUGGGGCAUUAGAAGCUGACUAUGGAGGAACCGGUAGGAGUUGGAUGUUUGGAAAUAGAGGGCAGGGCAUUGCAGGUAGAGAAUGGGAGUGUAUUCUGGAUGCCAACACAUCUGUGGCGGUCCUAAGAUCAGGAAUAGAUGGUCUGUAUCUUCAGUAUGACUUAAUGUUUCUGAGUGUAAGACUUAAUCUCCAUUUGAAAAAGGAUAAAAAGAAGGAAAAAAAAUAAAAGCUAUUACGUUUCUG
RNAcentral lists this long non-coding RNA (847 nucleotides) under Homo sapiens (human). RNAcentral's name for it is "non-protein coding LINC01331:4". The record is from RNAcentral. Lineage: Eukaryota; Metazoa; Chordata; Mammalia; Primates; Hominidae.